This 453-nucleotide ribosomal RNA is filed under the name uncultured bacterium. Its description in RNAcentral is "bacterial LSU rRNA". The stretch from base 1 to 250 matches the Rfam family "Bacterial large subunit ribosomal RNA", at positions 1761 to 2018 of the family's 2925-position model. The record is from RNAcentral.
CCGGAGCGGAACGGGGUCGCAGAGAAUCGGUGGCUGCGACUGUUUAUUAAAACACAGCACUCUGCAAACACGAAAGUGGACGUAUAGGGUGUGACGCCUGCCCGGUGCCGGAAGGUUAAGUGAUGGGGUGCAAGCUCUUGAUCGAAGCCCCGGUAAAACGGCGGCCGUAACAAUAACGGUCCUAAGGUAGCGAAAUUCCUUGUCGGGUAAGUUCCGACCUGCACGCAUGGGCGUAACGAUGGCGACAAUGGAUCCAGUAAUCAUGGCCUGUUUAUGGAAUAAAUAAUCUGUUGAUUGUAAACUGAAGGGCCAAUCACCGCGGAAAGGCGCUUGGUAACAGUUUGUAUUUUCGCGACAACCAAUGCAGCAGGCCACGGGCGACACGCAUCCUUCCAUCUAUCAGGUCGAGUUCUGGAUGGCGGUCUGGGCCGGCUGACUGCAGUUGACGAGCGA